CGAUGAUGUUGCUGGGGAAGCGGGGUGCAGGCCCUGGAAGACGAGGGAGGAGCCUGUGAGCCACCGGCCCACGUGAAAGUAAAUGCAUGAAGUUCCCUCUCACUGAACUGAAAAGAGCCUCAACCUGGACCUGACACCAACUUCGCCGGUGCUGCCUGGCUGGUUGCUCUAGCGCCCUGAAGGAGAGGAAUGCAGUCAUAUUUCACUGUGAUUUUCAGUGUCAUUUCCACGAAGACUAAUGAUGUUGAGCUUUUUUUUCUCCAUAAUACAGAGAGAUCUUGACUGAGACAGACACACCCCAAGUGUGCAGCAUUUGAGGCGCUCCGAGACCCUCAUGAGCUUGGGUCCUCCAUGGCUGCCUCGCCACUAUAUGAGAUAGAGUCUUGCUAUGUUGUCCAGGCUGGCACUGAACUCUUGGGCUCCAACGAUCCUCCUGCCCCGGCCUCCUGAGUAGCUGGGAUUAUAGGCACAAGUCACCAUGCCCAGCCGGAAUAAUCUGAAGGAAAGAUGGGUAUAUUCAAGAUGACUUUGCUGCUGGAAAUAUGACAGAAUAAUGUGGUAUCUUCCUCUGCACUUCCAAGCUCUUUCACACUCAGGCUCCUCCUGGCUUUUCUGCCUCAGACACCAUAAACUGUGGUUGCUUCUCCAGCUCUGUUACAGUUCAGACUUGAGGGGAGGUGACAAGAGCUAACAUGUUACCAUGGGGAGCCUGGCUGACAUUUCCGAAACUGAAGACUCUAUGGAAGCCUCAUGCUAUUGCAAUGUGUACAUCAAAAGUAAAGUACCCCAGGUUAAAACUAUGAGGAAGUUGCCAUCUUUACUUCCAGGAGCAAAGACACUGAAACUGUCCCCUGUAAGCCCCUUAAUUUCAUACAGUCCUCUGACUGCCCCCCCCCCCCAACCCUGGCUACUUUUUUUUGAAAUAAGGUCUCACUCUGUCAUCCAGGCUGGAGUGCAGUGGCAAAAUCACAAUACCCUGCAGCCUUGACCUCAUGGGCUCAAGCAGUCCUCCCACUUCAGCCUCCUGGGUAGCUGGGACUACAGGCUUGCACUACCACACCCAGCUUAUUUUUUGUAGAGACAGAGUUUCGUCAUGUUGCCCAGGCUGGUCUCAGGAGUCACUCCUGAGCUCAAGUGAUCCGCCUGCCUUGGCCUCCCAAAGUGCUGGGAUUACAGGCGUGAGCCACUAUGUCUGGUCCUCUGACCCUUUUAGCAGGAAAUCCAGCCCAGCCCCUGAACGGCAUGUUAGACAGUUCAACAAAGCCUUCUAGAAGACCAAAGAAGACUCAUAGGAAUAAGCCUCUUGCUGAUUAAUGGAAACAUGACCAUUUGUGGAGAAAGUGCAAUCUGCAUUGAACACCUUUAGGGGAACCUGUCAUUUAAGACUUCAAGCAUUACCAUGAAAACUUCCUCUGAAAAACCUUACAGACAUCUCUGUAAAACAGAUUUAAAAAGAAACACAUUUCUGCUCAAUUGGUACACAUCAAAUGGUGAUUUAAGAGCAAGGCUAGGAAACCAGAAGAUGAUAUGCAUAUACAUAAAGUUGCCACUAUUCCAAAUAGUAAAAUAAAGACAAAGUCAAUGGUCCUAGAAGAGCUGGUGGGUUGUGGAGCCAGGAGAGAAAGGCAGCUCCCUUCACCUUCCCUGUACAUUCCAGGAGGCCCUAGAAUGACCUAGAUGGUGUUACGCACAAAGCCCUCCUUUUCCCAUCCCGCCAUCAUCUCAGGAGCAAAUGGCCACACUCGGGUAUACGGAGCAGCUCAAGCAACCAGGUCUUCCCGCCAUUCCCCUGAAAGGGCUGGUUUUGCCAAACGCCAGAGCCACAUUG
Molecule: long non-coding RNA, 1828 nt
Filed under: Pan troglodytes (chimpanzee)
Lineage: Eukaryota; Metazoa; Chordata; Mammalia; Primates; Hominidae
Description: long non-coding RNA NONPTRT002060
Source: RNAcentral